GAAUCAUUGAUAAAUGGAUUGAGUUUGUUCCGUCCUUAAACCAAAUUCGUAUUUUUUUAUUGAAAAAUUU
Molecule: transfer RNA, 70 nt
Filed under: Macrotyloma africanum
Lineage: Eukaryota; Viridiplantae; Streptophyta; Magnoliopsida; Fabales; Fabaceae
Description: partial tRNA-Tyr
Source: RNAcentral